RNAcentral lists this ribosomal RNA (817 nucleotides) under Escherichia coli. RNAcentral describes it as "partial 23S ribosomal RNA". It matches the Rfam family "Bacterial large subunit ribosomal RNA", at positions 421 to 1239 of the family's 2925-position model. Lineage: Bacteria; Pseudomonadati; Pseudomonadota; Gammaproteobacteria; Enterobacterales; Enterobacteriaceae. The record is from RNAcentral.
GACACGUGGUAUCCUGUCUGAAUAUGGGGGGACCAUCCUCCAAGGCUAAAUACUCCUGACUGACCGAUAGUGAACCAGUACCGUGAGGGAAAGGCGAAAAGAACCCCGGCGAGGGGAGUGAAAAAGAACCUGAAACCGUGUACGUACAAGCAGUGGGAGCCUCUUUUAUGGGGUGACUGCGUACCUUUUGUAUAAUGGGUCAGCGACUUAUAUUCUGUAGCAAGGUUAACCGAAUAGGGGAGCCGAAGGGAAACCGAGUCUUAACUGGGCGUUAAGUUGCAGGGUAUAGACCCGAAACCCGGUGAUCUAGCCAUGGGCAGGUUGAAGGUUGGGUAACACUAACUGGAGGACCGAACCGACUAAUGUUGAAAAAUUAGCGGAUGACUUGUGGCUGGGGGUGAAAGGCCAAUCAAACCGGGAGAUAGCUGGUUCUCCCCGAAAGCUAUUUAGGUAGCGCCUCGUGAACUCAUCUCCGGGGGUAGAGCACUGUUUCGGCAAGGGGGUCAUCCCGACUUACCAACCCGAUGCAAACUGCGAAUACCGGAGAAUGUUAUCACGGGAGACACACGGCGGGUGCUAACGUCCGUCGUGAAGAGGGAAACAACCCAGACCGCCAGCUAAGGUCCCAAAGUCAUGGUUAAGUGGGAAACGAUGUGGGAAGGCCCAGACAGCCAGGAUGUUGGCUUAGAAGCAGCCAUCAUUUAAAGAAAGCGUAAUAGCUCACUGGUCGAGUCGGCCUGCGCGGAAGAUGUAACGGGGCUAAACCAUGCACCGAAGCUGCGGCAGCGACACUAUGUGUUGUUGGGUAGGGGAGCGU